Molecule: long non-coding RNA, 324 nt
Filed under: Zonotrichia albicollis (white-throated sparrow)
Lineage: Eukaryota; Metazoa; Chordata; Aves; Passeriformes; Passerellidae
Description: lncRNA (ENSZALG00000007516.1)
Source: RNAcentral
AUUUGAAGCAUUCCAUGAGGCACUGAAUCUCAGCAUAGGGAAGAUCUUUGCUCAGCUAUCCCAAAAGCUUCUUUGACAUCAUGGAGGGGAAAAGAAAUGGCCUCCACAAAAGGACACUGGCAGCUCUUCACCUCUUCUUCAUUGUUGCUGCUCACUUGGUAUCUACAGGAGACUGCUCUAGAUGAUCUACAUACAGCAAGAGAGCUUUGCUUAAUGUGAAGACCCUACAGUCAACACAGAGAAAACACAUAAAGGCUCAGUGAUUCCCUCAUUCUGGGCUCCCCACGCUUGGUGUCCUCAUCUGGAGAUCUCACAGACCUGGUA